GUAGGGGGCAAGCGGUGUUCGGAAUUACUGGGCGUAAAGGGCGCGUAGGCGGCAUGGCAAGUCGGGAGUGAAAGCCCGGGGCUCAACCCCGGAACGGCUUUCGAAACUGCCAAGCUAGAGUACGGAAGGGGCAACUGGAAUUCCCAGUGUAGCGGUGAAAUGCGUAGAUAUUGGGAAGAACACCGGAGGCGAAGGCGGGUUGCUGGGCCGAUACUGACGCUGAGGCGCGAAAGCCAGGGGAGCAAACGGGAUUAGAUACCCCGGUAGUCCUGGCCCUAAACGAUGGAUACUUGGUGUGUGGGGUUCUCAAAGUCCCCGCGUGCCGGAGCUAACGCGUUAAGUAUCCCGCCUGGGGAGUACGGUCGCAAGGCUG
RNAcentral lists this ribosomal RNA (373 nucleotides) under uncultured bacterium. RNAcentral describes it as "bacterial SSU rRNA". It matches the Rfam family "Bacterial small subunit ribosomal RNA", at positions 527 to 896 of the family's 1533-position model. The record is from RNAcentral.